Long non-coding RNA from Zea mays, 1113 nucleotides. RefSeq annotates it as MIR167gHG. The record is from RefSeq and is marked validated. Lineage: Eukaryota; Viridiplantae; Streptophyta; Magnoliopsida; Poales; Poaceae. The transcript has a single exon.
CUCCAUCUCUCUACCCUCUCCCUCUCUCUCGGAUAGCUAGCUCUUCUUCCUCCUUCCUCCGUUUGGAUCAGACGAGAGGGUAUGUAGUGGUGCACCACGAGUUGGUGAAGCUGCCAGCAUGAUCUGGUUAUGAUGGUGGUGGUAUAUGUAAGAUGGAUGUAAUCUAUACUACUACCGGCCCCUGUCACUCUCUCUCUCUCCCCCGUCCCUGACUGUCAUAUAUGGAUCGACGAAUCCAAGAUGAGAGGGGAAGGGAGAGAGAGAGAGGGUAAUUAAUGAGCACCAGGACCAGGUCAUGCUGUAGUUUCAUCUGCUGGUGGCCGCACAUCGAAAACCCUAGCUAGCUCACCCUCCUGCAAUUCAUAUCCAUGCUGCACUCGCCAGAGACCACCAGUCAAGCUAGCUUAUUUCCGCCGUUGACGACGUUGAUUAAUUAUCCGUGAUAAUAAUGGCCUUGUCGAUCUAGUUUCCUCUCUCUUUUUUUAUUAUUAUGCCUUUGCUUCUCUCUUGGUUCGGUUGUGUAUAUUGCUGUCUCUGUCUUCGUCAUCACUGUGUGCCUACAAUCCUGCUCACGAUAAUGCAGAUGGGAAGUUGUGCAUUGCCGGAAGUCUUCUUUUCGAAGGUAAAAAAAAAACUAACUCGACAACUGUUUUGUAGCUUGAAUUAAUAAGUGUUGCAGGUAGAAUACCCAAGAUUACCUUCGGCUCACCUUCGGCGGGGAUGGUUGCAAUGCAACAACGAAUACAAAAGCGCAAGCUUCGGAGUAACAGCAUGUGCACAUGAGGGGUGAACAAGCCAAAACCAUGAGAGGUCAACAAGACAGCUAUAGAAAUUGACUGCAGUAUCCUAAUAUAUUUGCUAGCUCAAUUGUAUGUGCGUUCGAGUGUACGAUUGUAAUUUUGACGAAGAAGCUGUAACUCACGAUUAUAAAUAGCUAAAUAGUACCAUGCGUUCGUUGGACACACGUUCUUGAGAUGGAGAGAAAUAAAUCGCUAUAUAUGCCUACGAAGCUGUAUUAUUAUAUCUCUACCUUCAUCCUGUAACUUCACGAAGUCGAAGGUAUAUAUAUAAUCUUUUGUUAAAUAAUAAGAAGGAAGGAGGAAACAACAUCUU